AAAUCAUGUUCCUGCAAUAAAAUGUUUUUUAAAUUAUUAUUAUUUUUUAGAUAUCCACAAACGAACAUACAAAUGUGAGUAAAAUACAAAAUAUUAAAUUUACAAUAACGAAUAAAGGAAGAGCCCCCCAUUAUGUUCGAAGGGGUGUUCCUGUCAGGGUUAAUGCUUAGGAGGGAUGGGUUUGGGAACACCUGGGCCUUGCUGGGGGAGAGGUGGCUGGGAGGCAGGAGGUUGGUUCCAAUUGUUGUUUUCUCCAUACCUAAGUGGCAUAUUAAAACUAAAAUCAACAUUAAAAAAUAAAAAAUACAACUAAGGUGUAUGUAAUAUGGACACUCUUCCCCCCCAAUUUGCUACGAUAAAGCAUUAAUACCUGGGUCCUGAUGUAGAGGAUGGUGGAUAUGUAGGCAUUGGCUGGAAACAGAUGAAGAGAGCAGAAUUACUACCACACGUAAACUGGUUAAUUAGUCAUGUACUGGAAAAGGUCCUAGGUCUGUUUGUGUUGUAUAGCCCACUCCCAUGACCAGGCUAGAUCUGUUUGUGUUGUAUAGCCCCCUCCCAUGACCAGGCUAGGUCUGUUUGUGUUGUAUAGCCCACUCCCAUGACCAGGCUAGAUCUGUUUGUGUUGUACAGCCCACUCCCAUGACCAGGCUAGAUCUGUUUGUGUUGUAUAGCCCACUCCCAUGACCAGGCUAGAUCUGUUUGUGUUGUAUAGACCACUCCCAUGACCAGGCUAGAUCUGUUUGUGUUGUAUAGACCACUCCCAUGACCAGGCUAGAUCUGUUUGUGUUGUAUAGCCCACUCCCAUGACCAGGCUAGAUCUGUUUGUGUUGUAUAGCCCACUCCCAUGACCAGGCUAGGUCUGUUUGUGUUGUAUAGCCCACUCCCAUGACCAGGCUAGAUCUGUUUGUGUUGUAUAGACCACUCCCAUGACCAGGCUAGAUCUGUUUGUGUUGUAUAGCCCACUCCCAUGACCAGGCUAGAUCUGUUUGUGUUGUAUAGCCCACUCCCAUGACCAGGCUAGA
This is a long non-coding RNA of Oncorhynchus tshawytscha (Chinook salmon), 1022 nucleotides long. The record is from Ensembl. NCBI's taxonomy places the organism in Eukaryota, Metazoa, Chordata, Actinopteri, Salmoniformes, Salmonidae.